RNAcentral lists this long non-coding RNA (329 nucleotides) under Elaeis guineensis (African oil palm). RNAcentral describes it as "long non-coding RNA (EGUI_LNC052085)". Lineage: Eukaryota; Viridiplantae; Streptophyta; Magnoliopsida; Arecales; Arecaceae. The record is from RNAcentral.
CUGUCACCAACAUCCAUUAUAAAGACUCAUUGAGUCAAUAUUUAUGUAUAGUCAAACUUCAGUAGCCUCACUAUGAGCAGCUGUAACACCAUAAGUCAAAGGAUCAGUCACACUACUGCAGCAUCGAGAAAGUCAUGAACGAGCAGACAUCCAUGUGACUUUUCAUGUUGGUCAUACUCAGUGCUAGUUAUUCUCAAACAACCACCUACACUCUCACUCCAGUAUUACUACACCGCAGACUCAAGACUCAUCUGCUCGAAGGAAGCGAUCCAUAUACUGGUCUAUCUGGAUCAAUCAUCAUCCCCAUGAUGAUCCUAUAACUAGGAGCA